GGAGAGGUGGCUGAGCGGUUGAAAGCAACGUCCUGCUAAGACGUUAGGGGAGUAAUCCCCUCGAGGGUUCAAAUCCCUCCCUCUCCG
RNAcentral lists this transfer RNA (87 nucleotides) under Candidatus Vogelbacteria bacterium RIFOXYD1_FULL_51_18. RNAcentral's name for it is "tRNA-Ser". It matches the Rfam family "tRNA". Rfam says of the family: Transfer RNA (tRNA) molecules are approximately 80 nucleotides in length. Their secondary structure includes four short double-helical elements and three loops (D, anti-codon, and T loops). Further hydrogen bonds mediate the characteristic L-shaped molecular structure. tRNAs have two regions of fundamental functional importance: the anti-codon, which is responsible for specific mRNA codon recognition, and the 3' end, to which the tRNAs corresponding amino acid is attached (by aminoacyl-tRNA synthetases). tRNAs cope with the degeneracy of the genetic code in two manners: having more than one tRNA (with a specific anti-codon) for a particular amino acid; and 'wobble' base-pairing, i.e. permitting non-standard base-pairing at the 3rd anti-codon position. The record is from RNAcentral. RNAcentral also lists the same sequence under 1 other name. Lineage: Bacteria; Candidatus Vogeliibacteriota.